RNAcentral lists this ribosomal RNA (253 nucleotides) under uncultured bacterium. RNAcentral's name for it is "partial 16S ribosomal RNA". It matches the Rfam family "Bacterial small subunit ribosomal RNA", at positions 524 to 776 of the family's 1533-position model. The record is from RNAcentral.
UACGAAGGGGGCUAGCGUUGUUCGGAAUCACUGGGCGUAAAGCGCACGUAGGCGGAUCUUUAAGUCAGGGGUGAAAUCCCGAGGCUCAACCUCGGAACUGCCUUUGAUACUGGGGAUCUCGAGUCCGGGAGAGGUGAGUGGAACUGCGAGUGUAGAGGUGAAAUUCGUAGAUAUUCGCAAGAACACCAGUGGCGAAGGCGGCUCACUGGUCCGGUACUGACGCUGAGGUGCGAAAGCGUGGGGAGCAAACAGG